This is a non-coding RNA of Aegilops tauschii subsp. strangulata, 1087 nucleotides long. The record is from RefSeq and is a predicted model, not a curated record. Lineage: Eukaryota; Viridiplantae; Streptophyta; Magnoliopsida; Poales; Poaceae.
GGGAGAGGGAGCUGAGGAAAGGACGGCUAAGUUGUUGGAGGAGGAGAGGAACCGGAACGACAAUGCUAACCGGGCCCUAUACGAGCUCAUCGUGACCAUGUGCGAGAAAAACGGUCAGGCCUCUCCGCCGAUGCUCCAGAUUGCUCCGGCGACCACGCAUGGCUCCCGACAAGCAUCGACCAAUCCUUCUGUGUCUGCCAAUGCCGGAACCCCGACCGGUCCUUCACCUCCGUCUGGCACUGGCAUUCCUACACCUCCGUGAUAACGAUUUAAUUCUCUAUAUGGAAGCUUGCAUGGACGACAAAGAGGACACAUGGCAGCUAACUGUAAAAACUGGGAACACUGGCUGCCUAUUUGGUCACUUUGUUGUCGCCAGCAGACGGAAAAGAUUCAAAUCCCUUUGCCAUCCGCUGGCGGACGGCAUAGCUGGCCACGUGGCAGCUUCCCAGUGCUGUCUAGCUGAGCUAUUUGCCGUCUGUCAGCGGACGGCAAAGAGCUUUGACUCUUUGCCGUCCGCUGGCAGACGACAAAGAGCGCCGUUAACCCCCUAACGACUCUCACGCCACUGCACUACCGUCCGUUGUCUUUGCCGUCAGCUGGCCUCGGAUGGCGGACGACACAAUCCUUUCCCGUCCGUUUCCAGGAAGCGGACGGCAAAGACGGCCUUUGCUGGCACGUGUUCAGACGGACAGUUUGCCGUCUGCUGGCGGACGGCAAAGAAGUUUGCCGUCUGUGAUCCAUGCCUUUGCCGUCUGCCAUGGCAGACGGCAAAGAAGCUGAUUCCAGUAGUGACGGGUCUGUAUUGAUGGGGAAUGGUCUGAGUGCUUCUGUUCAUGGUGUUAGCACGGUCGAUCUGAACUUUACUUCGGGAAGGAUCAUGCAUCUGAAGAACAUGCAACAUGUUCCCGCGAUUAAGAAGAACCUCGUUAGUGGCUCCCUUCUAUGUAGAGAAGGAUUUAAGUUGGUCGUCGAGUCUAAUAAAUUAGUUGUUACGAAAUAUGAACUCUUUGUUGGAAAAGGUUAUGAGUGCCGAUUCUUGUACAAAAGUCGUGAACAAUAUUCAUUCGAGUGUUAAUGAAUCUGAAGU